This 440-nucleotide ribosomal RNA is filed under the name uncultured bacterium. Its description in RNAcentral is "partial 16S ribosomal RNA". It matches the Rfam family "Bacterial small subunit ribosomal RNA", at positions 338 to 795 of the family's 1533-position model. The record is from RNAcentral.
UCUACGGGUGGCAGCAGUGGGGAAUAUUGCACAAUGGGGGAAACCCUGAUGUAGCGACGCCGCGUGAGUGAAGAAGUAUUUCGGUAUGUAAAGCCCUGUCAGCAGGGAAGAAAAUGACGGUACCUGAAGAAGAAGCCCCGGCUAACUACGUGCCAGCAGCCGCGGUAAUACGUAGGGGGCAAGCGUUAUCCGGAUUUACUGGGUGUAAAGGGGGCGCAGACGGCGAUGCAAGCCAGGAGGGAAAGCCCGGGGCCCAACCCCGGGACUGCUGUUGGAACUGCGUGGCUGGAGUGCAGGAGGGGCAGGCGGAAUGCCUGGUGUAGCGGUGAAAUGCGUAGAUAUCAGGAGGAACACCGGUGGCGAAGGCGGCCUGCUGGACUGCAACUGACGUUGAGGCCCGAAAGCGUGGGGAGCAAACAGGAUUAGAUACCCUUGUAGUC